AUGAGGAAGAGAACAAAUACUUGGCUGAAUGAGCUCUUAGAUGAUGGUGAUGUUUAUCUCCCUGAUCUCGGCACGGUGAAAAGAAUGGCAUGCAGGGGUUGCUGCCCAAGCCUCGGUGCUCCUGGAGAGUCCUGCGUUAGAGGAAGCAGCUGCACGAUCUGCUGUGCCGUGGGGUUGUGGUGGGGAGAACCCUCUCUGGCCUCUCCUGGUGCAGGCUCCACGCUGUCAGUGAGGCUCAGCCACGAAGAUCUUCAGACAGAGGGAGGAGGGGAUCUGAGGUCCACCUUGUCCUCCAUAAAGUCGCUGUGAAGCCAAAAUAAUGGGGUCACAUCUCAAGAACCACCUGCCUUGCCCCACCCACACCAUUCAUGGCCCCCUGCAGGGCUCGGUGGGUCUCCCCACACACAGACUCACCCCCAGUCCCUGGGGUCCUCUGGGAUAAAGCCACUGGGUGAGCCAGGGGCUGGCAGCACACCCUUUGCUAUUCCUGGGCAUUGGCUCCAGCGUCGUUGAAAAAUGCCACCUGAAGGCAAGAGGUGAGUAUUCUUGUAGGGACAUACACAGAACAACCAGGGCAGGGAGGUGGAGCACAGCCCCUUCCCUUGGGGCUCAGAGUGAGCACCUGUUGGUCACAGUGAAAUGGUGUUUGACCACUGGCUCCCGGAAGGAGUGAAAGUCCACAGAAAUCAGAAGGCAGGGAAACCAAGAACAUAAGGGGAUCUGGGAGGGACCAGCGAGGAAGGUGACAAAGUAGGGGCAGGGAAAGUCAGGCUCACCUGACCUCCAGGCUCUCCCGGUCCUCUGGGAUGUCCUGCAUGGGCCGAGGUGCCUCCUCCUCCUCACUGUCCAGAUGUCCUCCUCCAUCUCCCUUCUAGGGGUGGCCAGAGGGGUCCUCAGACAACCCAAUAAGGGAAGUGGGGCCCACCUCUGCCCCCACCCUCACUGUGUAGCCCUGAGCCAGCCCAUUCCCAGAGGGGAAUGAGCUGUUCUGUAUUAUUACUUUUAAGAACCAAGAUCUUGCUAUACUGCCCAGGCACAGUCCCACUACCGAUUGGUGCCGGAGUCCUGACCUGCUCCCUUUCUGACCUGGGCCAAUUCUCCUGUCCUUAGGCAACCUGAUGGCCUCCUGCUCCCAGGAGGUCACCAUAUUGAUACCGAACUUAGCGCGGACACCCGGUCGGCAUAAUGACCAGCUGUGUUAAAGGUGUCUUCCAACUCCUCAAUCCUAUGCUGCUAACAGUCCCCCUUUCCUCCUGAGGCUCUCGCCUCUUCCUCCGAGUGGUCUCCCGUACCUUCCCCAGGGAGAACCAUGAGGCUCAACCUGGCUUUAGCUGCUGUUUCUGCUGGCUGGUAGCUUCCAGGUGCUCCUAAGAGGCCAGGAAAGAGGGUGAGAAGGCACGGAGGUUGCCAGGUUGUCUCUCUCGGGGCCCUGUUCUCAGCAGCUCCCUCCCUGGGGUCUCCUGCAACUUUUGGCGGGCCAUCUUAGCUACCACUUUGCCUUGAGCUUCCUGCUGCUGCAGCUGGUCCAGGAGCUGGGUCUGCAGCAGUAACUGCCUGUGCAGCACCUCCUCCUCAGAGGUCAGCUGCUGCUAAGCGACCACAUACUGCUGCAGGUGACACAGGUACUGGUCUCCCUGCUGCUGCAGACUCUGAGCCUCUUGGCUCUUCAGCUCCACCUGCAGGAUGAUCCUGGGCAUGAGGGCGUUUACUAGCUGGCUUCCAGAUUCCUGGCCCAUUAAUAGGGUAGCAAGGGCACUGUGGUGCUCUGUGGCCUGCCCAGGCCCCUGGUCCCUUGCUCCAGGCCUCAGAGCCUGCCUCCCUUCCCUGGAACCCAAUGCAUCCUUCCCCAGCCUCAAAUCUCACACACUUUUCCCUGUCAUUUAAACUGUAGGCCACAGACUGGUGGAAAACGGGGGGAGCCAACCAGCAUCUGCUAAGUGUACUACAUGACUACUGUUUCCACGUAUUAUCUCAUUUAAUCCUCAGCACCUCUGCAAGGAAAACGCUAACUUCCUUUUGAAGUUAAAGAAACAGAGACUUAGAAAUACAAAGUAGUUGAAUGAUAACCAGUAGAACCGAGUCCGGAAACCAGUUUGAGUCUAAGGAGUCUUUUUGGUUUUUGCAUUUUGUUUUGUUUUGAGACAGUGUCACUCUGUGUCCCAGGCUGGAGUCCAGUGGUGCGAUCUCAGCUCACUGCAACCUCUACCUCCCAGGCUCAAAUGAUUCUCGUGCCUCAGCCUCCUGAGUAGCUGGGAUGACAGGCAUGCACCACCAGGCCUAGGUAAUUAUUUUUUUUGAAAUUUUAGUAGAGAUGAGGUUUUGCCGUGUCAGCCAGGCUGGUCUCAAACUCCUGACCUCAAGUGAUUCUCCUGCCUCAGCCUCCCAAAUUGGUGGGACUACAGGCGUCAGCCACCACACCCGGCCAACUUCUUAUACCACUGUCUCUUCCCCUGUGACUGGGGGGCUCCAUGCCUCUAGCUGGGACGAUGAUAUCCAGACCUGGGGGGAGCCCAGGGCUCCCCACCUCUAAAAGUCAGAGGGAAAGAUGCAAGAAACAGUAAUAGGACUGCCCUGGAGAGUGCUGGGGUCACCUGCCCCCAGGUUGCAGCUGCCUCUGGCCUGGCGCCUCCCUUCCCCAGAGGCUGGUGCCCGCCUCCCAGCCCUUCUUGGAUGGGUCAGAGGUUACCGUGUCUUUCAGCUCGCCCAGCGUCUUCAGCUCCUUUACUUGAGGCUCCAACUGCAGUGCGCUCUUGUUCUCAUUGUUCUGGACAGAGAGAAGCAAUCAUUGGCCACCUGCUAUAACUGAAGACCCCAGAACUUGGUGUCUGCCUGCCAUGGCACCGGGAAGGGUGGAGGCAGGUUAGAAAAAUCAUCCCCUCUCUCCCACAGCCAUCAGAGCAGGGCUCUGGCUCACAGGUGCCUUUAGAAGUACCAUUUCAUGUGAGGACUACAAUGCCCCAUUUUACAGGUGGGGAAACAAAGGCCUGGAGGGCUAGGGAAGAGGGCAGGCUCCCCAGGUGGGGCAACCCACCGGCUCCUCGAAGCUACUGUGUGGCUCCGCCUGCUGCUCAUAGAGGGCUUCCCACCCCAGCUGCAGCAUCCUCUCCAGCUCCCUCCAGCUCCCGCAGUGUCUCCUGCUCCCACAGCCUCUGAUCCUGCUCCCGCAGCCUCUCCUGUUCCAGCAGCUCCUGCUCCAGCCUCUGACUCCCCAGCUCUCCAGCUCCUCCUGCUCCCUGCUCUCCUGCUCCCCUUCCUGCC
Macaca fascicularis (crab-eating macaque) is the source of this 3258-nucleotide long non-coding RNA. NCBI's taxonomy places the organism in Eukaryota, Metazoa, Chordata, Mammalia, Primates, Cercopithecidae. The record is from Ensembl.